ACGAUCCGGAAGGCCGGUGACUCUAAGGGUGUGGCCUCCGGGGGGAUUCUGGAAGCGGUGUGAGUGGCACCCCGGCGCCUGGUCUGGGCACAGCUCGGGGAGGUUAGAAAGGCCUGGUGAGUGUGGAGCACGUCCUGCCGCCCGCCCGUGGGCCCUGGCAGAGGGCACGGCGGGGCUGGGUUCUCUGGAGCUCAGACACUAAGAAGACGUUUCCUCCUGAGGACACGUCCUGAGACACUGAGAGGUCCAAGGGCUGGGGCAUUUCAGGCCGGCGGCUCGCUGGAUGGACCCCCUGGGGCUCACGCGGCCUCUGGGACUCUUGAACUGGGCGCUGCACCCACAGGGAGGCGUGCGUGCGAGCAGCGCCCAGAGCUGGGAGCCGGCUCGGAAGGGCCUAGUAGUGUAUAAGGCACCAAGCUGAGAAUCGGGCUUAGAUCUAAAAAUAAAUAAAUAAAUAACCCCUUUUUAGUCCUAAAUUUCUUUUCCCUGGAAAAUUUGCCAAUUACAUGAUAAUCAUUUUAUUAAAAUCCCUUUAAAAUUGUAAUGAAAUGUUAUUUAUUCUAAUUGUUACAUUUUAGAAGCCAUUCUUUUGUAUUCUGUGUGUUUUAAAGCAGAAUCCUGAAGUGCUUGAAAAUUCCAACCCGCAGCGCACAGCUCAGAGGUAAACCACAAGCCUAGUCUUUCACGGCCGCAUGCAAGCACCAGAUGUAUACACAACCGGUAGUGCAGUCUACACCGCUGGCCAGCAGAUGGGCUCAAGAAAAACUGUCCAAGAAAAUCUGCAUAUAAGAAACGGAAACUCAAGUCAUCUUUAAUGCUUAUGUCCCACUGCUUGCUCUUCCUGCUGUGCUUUUAAAAGUACUCAGCCUCUGGAUUCAACGUUCCCGAAUGCGCUACAGAAACAUUCCCAAGCAGAUGGGCACAGAUGGGUGUGAAGGGGACGCUCCUGCCUCCUCCUCCAGCAUCUCACACUCUAACCAGCCCACGCGUUUCAGCAGGUGCUGCACUGGCUCCCCACUCACCAGAGGCCCCACAGUGUUGCUUCAUCAAAGCUGCCCCCUGUCUGUCACACCCACAAACGGGUGUCACCCACACAGCCUUUCUCUUUGCACCAUUUACACACGAAGAGGCGAUGGAAUCCAUAUGUCACCCCAACACAUGUAGAAUGAGGAACAAAUAAAAACCAGCUGAUUUUCAAUCUUCCUGGGUGGGGCUC
Myotis lucifugus (little brown bat) is the source of this 1216-nucleotide long non-coding RNA. RefSeq lists it as uncharacterized. The record is from RefSeq and is a predicted model, not a curated record. Lineage: Eukaryota; Metazoa; Chordata; Mammalia; Chiroptera; Vespertilionidae. The transcript is spliced from 3 exons.